UGGGGAAUAUUGCACAAUGGGCGCAAGCCUGAUGCAGCCAUGCCGCGUGUGUGAAGAAGGCCUUCGGGUUGUAAAGCACUUUCAGCGAGGAGGAAGGUGGUGGACUUAAUACGUUCAUCAAUUGACGUUACUCGCAGAAGAAGCACCGGCUAACUCCGUGCCAGCAGCCGCGGUAAUACGGAGGGUGCAAGCGUUAAUCGGAAUUACUGGGCGUAAAGCGCACGCAGGCGGUUUGUUAAGUCAGAUGUGAAAUCCCCGGGCUCAACCUGGGAACUGCAUUUGAAAACUGGCAAGCUAGAGUCUCGUAGAGGGGGGUAGAAUUCCAGGUGUAGCGGUGAAAUGCGUAGAGAUCUGGAGGAAUACCGGUGGCGAAGGCGGCCCCCUGGACGAAGACUGACGCUCAGGUGCGAAAGCGUGGGGAGCAAAACAGGAUUAGAUACCCUGGUAGUCCACGCUGUAAAACGAUGUCGAUUUUGGAGGUUGUGCCCUUGAGGCGUGGCUUCCGGAGCUAACGCGUUAAAUCGACCGCCUGGGGAGUACGGCCGCAAGGUUAAAACUCAAAUGAAUUG
RNAcentral lists this ribosomal RNA (569 nucleotides) under uncultured bacterium. Its description in RNAcentral is "partial 16S ribosomal RNA". It matches the Rfam family "Bacterial small subunit ribosomal RNA", at positions 355 to 912 of the family's 1533-position model. The record is from RNAcentral.